GACGGGGGGGGCAAGUGUUCUUCGGAAUGACUGGGCGUAAAGGGCACGUAGGCGGAUCGUUAAGUCAGGGGUGAAAUCCUGGAGCUCAACUCCAGAACUGCCUUUGAUACUGGCGAUCUUGAGUCCGGAAGAGGUGAGUGGAACUCCUAGUGUAGAGGUGAAAUUCGUAGAUAUUCGCAAGAACACCAGUGGCGAAGGCGGCUCACUGGUCCGAUACUGACGCUGAGGCACGAAAGCGUGGGGAGCAAACAGG
RNAcentral lists this ribosomal RNA (253 nucleotides) under uncultured bacterium. Its description in RNAcentral is "partial 16S ribosomal RNA". It matches the Rfam family "Bacterial small subunit ribosomal RNA", at positions 524 to 776 of the family's 1533-position model. The record is from RNAcentral.